GCGACACCACGCCAAGCUAAUGUUUUUUUUGUUUGUUUGUUUGUUUGUUUGUUUAGUAGAGAUGGGGUUUUACCAUAUUGGCCAGGAUGGUCUUGAUUUCUUGACCUCAUGAUCUGCCCGCCUCGGCUUCCCAAAGUCUGGGGAUUACAGGUGUGAGCCACCGCGCCCGGCCAGAAAGAAACAAGAGUUUAUCAAAAACUCCUGUGGAAGAAAGGAUCAUCCUGCAUUUAGCCUCAGAGACCAAGCCAGGCUGCAGCUCCUCUGGGUGCCUCCCCCAUGCCUGCCCACUGAGGCAGAGACCCUCCUUCCUCAUGCUCCCACAGCCCUUCUUCUCUGAGACCUGGCUCCUGAAAUCCUCUUGCUGAGUUGUCUGUGACCUCAAUUGAGUGAAUAACUCCUCAUGGCCAGGGGCUGUGUUUCCCCAUGGAGCCCCAGCACCUGCCAAAACCUCUGACACACAAGGAGCACUCGGUGAGCUGUGGACAGAUGCAUGAACAGAAAGACAGCCUUUGAAUUCAAUGAUUUUGCCCGUUCCUCGUUAUGAUGAUUGUAUGGAGGAGUGGGGAGUAAAGCACAGUUCAGCUUUAGUUGGACGAGUAUCACUAUCAUCAUUCAUCCUAUAAUACAUUUAUCCCUUUCAAGGGAGUCACUCUGCUCAUUCCCCUCAGUAGGAGAGAAAUAAGCUGAAAGUGGGUGCUCCUAGGAUGCAAGUACAGCAAAGUUCCCCUUGACCAGUCAUGUGGGCAAUGACUGUGGCUGGGACAGUGAUGCAUGAGGACUGAAAGGGGUUCAGAGGUCAUGAGAACAAAAACAACCCAGAAGGUGCUUUGCUUCUGUGAACACAUCCCGGGUUCUUCUAUUUUACAGCCACACAAACCACUAAGACCAAGUGUCAUUGCUCCCACUAAUGAUAGAAUUUUGAUAUAAAUAACACUCAGCUGGCAGUCCAAUUUGAGUUGUUAUGCUGGAAUUUUUAACCUGAAUGUAGGAGUCUUGUACAAAGCUAAGUUUAAAAUUAUUUGAGUGGAAAUGCAAAAAUCAAAGGGAUAAAUUCACGUUGAAAUAUUGACAAGCAGUUUUCCGGUCCACAUCUAAUUUUCUUAGAAAAAGGACGAAGGUUGUUCCAGGCUAUCAUUCUGUCAUCUUACUUGUAGGUGUUCCAGUGUGGGGACACUAUACUGUCUCAUUGUGAAAGAUGACAGCUGGCCAGCUGCCUUCUAAUGUCUACUCCAUCGUAACUGACCAUCCAAGGACGCACAGGUCUGGAGCUGCAAAAGGAGCAGCACUAGGAAAGAAAACCCAGUCUUCUUGAGGUUGACUUCCCUUAUGGGGUAUGAACUGGCCACAUCCUUCAUAUAGAAAAUUGAAUAAUUUAAUAAGGAAUGGUCUAACUCAGAUUCUAGUUCUAUCUGUUUAUUUGCCUGGUAAUUACAGCAUAACAACUCAAAUUGGACUGCCAGCUGAGUGUUUGCCUGGGGCCAGAGAUUUCCUUGUGCACAUACUGGUGUUCCCUUACACCAAGUAGAGACUGAUAAAAAGAAAAAAUAAUAAUUUUGAAAAUCUGAAUUGGUAUACUCUCAAAAAUUAAUAUAGCAUGCCAAAUGGAAGCCUUGAAGCCACCCCUCAAACUGGUUAAGUAGUUUUCUAAAUGACCAUACCCCAUCCACCUUAACUUCUCUUCAAUGUACUCACCAAGCUGCUGCAAAUUGAUCUUUGUAUUUUUCUUUCUAAAUUGUGAAAUAUUUCAAGUAUAGAACAUAAUAAUCACCGACAAACUCAGAUGCUCAGAUUUAAUAAGUCUUAAAAUUUAGAAAAUUAAUGUUAGAUUCCUGAGUUUUCUUAAAAGAAGUAAAGAGUUAAAAAGCCAAUUAAAAUCUAACCCCCUUCCUUCCCAUAGGUAGUUAAUUGUUCUUCUGAGGUUAAGAGACACCAUUUCCAUGCAUGUUUGCAUGAGUUAUAUAUAUAGAUACUCCUUGACUUACGAUUAGUUUCCAUGCUGAAAAACCCAUUUUAAGUUGAAAAUACUACAGAUUGAAAAUGCCCCUACAAACAUGUAUACAUAUGUAACUAACCUGCACAUUGUGCACAUGUACCCUAAAACUUAAAGUAUAAUAAUAAUUAAAAAUAUAUAUAUAUAAACAUAUUGUUGCUUCAAUAUAAGGAAAAAAAAGAAAAAAAAAGAAAAUGCAUUUAAUAUGCCUAAUCUAUCAAACAUCAUAGCUUAGCCUAGCAUACCUUAAAUUGUGCUCAAAACACUUACAUUACCCCACAGUUAGGCAAAAUUCUCUUAACACAAAGCAUAUUUUAUAAUAAGGGUUGAAAAGUUGGGCUAUUGUAAGUCAGGGAUUGUCUGUAUUUGAUUUUAUCUAUGACAUGUACAUGUGACUAUAUAUACAUAUAUAGUGCAUAGAAUACAUACUUCUGAUGUUCAGUUUUUACAUGGCAAUUUUUGAGAUUUAUAUGUAUGCAUUUAUUUAUAUGUAUGUAUGUGUGUACAUGUAGUUUUUUUCUUGUGCAACAAGGUUUGAUGGAUAUGAUGGGUGGAUGUUAUGGAUAUUUUCACUAGGUAUUGUGGUUAAUUUUAAGUGUCAAUUUGGAGGGUGUUUUUGGAUGAGAUUAACAUUUAAAUUGGUCAACUUUGGUAAAGGAGAUUGCCCUUAAUAAUGUAGUUGGGCCUCGUCCAAUCAGUUAAAGGCCUGAAUAAAACCAAAAGACCAGCUUCCUCUAGCAAAAGGAAAUUUUCCAGCAGAUGAACUCCAGACUGGAACUGUGCUGUUGCCUCUCCCGGAUCUCCAGCCUGCCAGCCCACACGUCAGAUUUGGACGUGCCAGCCUCAAUAAUUGCAUGAGCCAAUUCCUUGUAAAAUAUCUGCUUCUCCAUAUACACAUCCUUUUGACUCUCUUUCUCUGGGAAAUCCUGACUAAUACAUCAGGUACAGACAAGCUUCUCCCCAGAGUGGUUGGCCUAAUUCACACUCACCUAGGCAAGGUAUAGAUUUCCUGUCUCUCACAUCCGUUUGGGGUGUGCAAGUCAAGUUGAUUUUUGUCAAUCUGAUGGGUAUGAAACAGAACUAUCAUUUUAAAUAGCAGUCCCUUGAUUCAUAAUAAGCAUCUUUCCUCCUUUUUGGUCAUUCAGUACCUUUUUCUGUAACUAAUUUGUUCACAAUUAUUUUUGGUCCCCAAAUACACUAUUUGCCUUUUUGUAUACAUCUAAGCAGGAGUGAUUGAACAGGCUAGAUAAUCUUUUUCUUUAAAGUUAAAUGUGUAAAUGGUGUUUUCUCUUGGUCUGUGGAAUGUCCCUUCACCUGCAUGUCCAGUGUUAUUUGUAAUAUCUAGUUUUAAUUAUAAUAUGGUCAAAUGUAUCAAUCUUUUUCAUGAUAGUGAUUUUUGUGUCUUGUUGAAAUAAUUUUCCCAUUAAGAUAUACCAUAUUGACAUUUUGGGCUGGAUGAAAAAUAAAAGAUACACCAUGAUUUUAAAUACUUUUCUUUUUCUAUGUGACUACACCUGAUAAUUUAUGAAAUCUGCAAAUAAUAGAAUCAAAGUAGUAAAGAAAAUGAAUAAACUACAGCUACACUUAUCAACAGAAAUGACAUGAUAGACUUUGAAUUUACAGACUUUGGAUUUCACCAGAUUUUAAAACUUAUGUCCCUUUUCUGUUCCAGAAUCUGAUGCAGGAUCCCACAUUGCAUCUGGUUGUCAUAUCUGCUUCUGCGUUUUACGGGUUCUCAGUAUUUCUUUGCCUUUCAUGAAGUUGACACCCUUGAAGAGCGUUGGUUAGUUUUAUUUUUGGAGAAUUUCCCUCAAUUUGGGUUUCUUUGUUCAGAAUUGCUAAUCUAUAGCUUGUGAGAAACCAAAGUACUAAUCAGAGUAAAGUAUUUAAUUUUCUCUUCCUAGAUUCUUAAGGUGGAAGCUUAGAUUACAGAUUUGAGCCCUUUCUUCUUUUCUAAAAUGAGCAUUUUUUUAGAAAUAUCCCUCCAAGCACCUCUUUAGUUGGCUGCCACAAAUUUUGAUGUGUGGUAUCUCCAUAAUUUUCAUUCAGUUCAAAACAUUUUUAAAUUGCCUGUAUACUUCCUCUUUGGCCUAUGGGUUAUUAUAUUGUAUACUGUUUAACUUCCAAAGAUUUGUAGAUUUUUCCACAUCUUUCUGUUAUUAAUUUCUAGUUUUAAUUCUAGACUCGAGCAAAUAUGUUUUAUAUUUUUUAUUCUUUUAACUUUGUUAACUUUUAUUUAUG
Molecule: long non-coding RNA, 4231 nt
Filed under: Homo sapiens (human)
Lineage: Eukaryota; Metazoa; Chordata; Mammalia; Primates; Hominidae
Description: HSALNT0084070
Source: RNAcentral